Hylaeus anthracinus is the source of this 4663-nucleotide long non-coding RNA. RefSeq lists it as uncharacterized. NCBI's taxonomy places the organism in Eukaryota, Metazoa, Arthropoda, Insecta, Hymenoptera, Colletidae. The transcript is spliced from 5 exons. The record is from RefSeq and is a predicted model, not a curated record.
GUCCAAGAGGACGUUCUCGAGCAGCUCCGAAAACAAGAUACCAAAGGGAUCGCAAGACUUUCGCUCCCGAAACUAAAUGCAGUCCCCAAUUAUUAUUUCGGGGCGGUGUAAUAACGAGCCACUAAAGCGUUUAUUUCGAGUGGCUCUAAAAAUCGGCCACGAACGCCCGGUGGGAUGUUUGCGUUUGGGACAUAGUAAGGUGUCGUUUAAAACGUGAAAUUUACGAUCGUGUCGUCGAAUCGCGGCUACUUCGUACCGCGGUGGAACGCAAUUUCCACGGGAACGUUCCGCGGAGUAUCGAAAGGCUCGUACCCAAGGCUCGCGGCAGAACGAAUGAUAUAAAUACAUCGAGACGAGAGACGAGUCGUUAAAAUCACUGUUCGACGUCUCCGCGGUGCUUGAUUAACGCGAUGCCUAUUUUCGAAGGCUGCCGGCGAUGAUUUAUGGCGACAUUCUUUUCGAUCUCCUUCGCGCGGUAUCUGCUACAUUUCAGGCGAGUCAGAGGAGCCUCAUCUGUCACGCGUGGAUUUAAAACCGGACGGAAAAAUGGGACACGGACGAUACACCGUCGUAAUAAGUAGAUAGGUGCAGAGAACUUUUCUUCGUUCGCCCUCAAGUAUCGAAUGAUAAUUCAGGUUGUCAGGGGUAGAGGAAGCAGCGUCUCUUCGAUCGUUAGGACAACGCUUCGAGGAAUAAGUUUCACAGAACCUCUUCGAGCAACGUGAAUGCAGAAUUAUUUGAAACGGUUGAACUCGUAGAAGUAUAACAUAAGAGCACGAGCACCAGAUAAACGUGAGAAGGGCACGUACGAGGUCCUCUUCGGAAUGGUACCGAUAACAAGUGGAUAACACGCAUGGUAAAAUAAUAACAAAUAUUACCAACAAGAAAUCUGAACCUGGUCCAGAAUGUUGUCCAUCGCGUAACAUUGUUAUGAAGUUGGUAAAUGUGAUAAAUUAUGGAACCGUCCAUAAUGAUAUUAUGGAUUUCCAUUACGAGUUGGGGAUUGUAUUAAACUUUAGUGAGGAUUAUGCAUAAUCGCCAGUUUAUUAUUAAGUUGUCCCAAAAGUUUCUUCGAUUUCGUUAAUAAGUAAUACAUACAGAACGUUUUAUGUCUAAUGUUAUGUUACAUUCCAUUAUCAUUAUUACGUUAACAUCGAAGAAAUUAAGUUACCUAUAUUUUAUAAACAUUGUCCACAAAAUGAGUGCAAGCCACGAAAGUAACUUUUGGAACAACCUGAUAGAUUUACUUUAACAAAUCGAUAUUACCCCAUCGCGAAAAGGGGAACCGAUCUGAGUCACUGUCUUGGUCGUGACCUUUCGCUCGAUGACUAAUUUUCCCCGGUGAUCUUAUGCUAAAAGCUCCGUGUAGCCAACGCGGGGACGAACAAUCGCUGUGAAGGCGGUUUUCAUUGUCUCGUCUAGUCAUGCACGAUGCCGUCAUGCUCGUCAGAGAUGUGUCGGCGAAACGGGCGUAAGAGCCGCUUCAACCUCCUCGUCGCGGAAAGAUAUUCACCUCGCGAGAAGGAAUUAAUCGAACACCUGGUUUCUCGUUAUGUUUCAACGCUCGAUGAAUUUUCACCGGCGCGAACGAGACGGCCGGUACCUGCAUCGGUUUUCCACGAGCGUCAGACACAAUUAACGAUAGGCCAACGAUUGCUUAAUUACUGUCGCGUUACGUGAACGCCGAUAAAUGGUAAAAAAAAACAACGAGCCGAAUCACCUGCGGGUAGUCGAAUACGAUAUCGCGAACGAAAACGAAAAGUAACUACGAUAUCAACUUUCUUAUUUCAUUAGGUGUGGAAAUUAAUUCUGUGCCUUUCUAUGGUAAACUUGCCAUUUAUGUAAAUUCACCAUUCGCAAAUAGAAAGUUAAUCAUACUUUAAUGAAAGCGUACAUCUUCGCUUCGCUUCGAGAGAGUGUGGAAUAUAGAAUAGACGAAUUCAUUGCGUUUUCGAGACGAACACCAUAGAUUUAUCGUGGUCGCUUUUUGUUUCGAGUAAUGUCGUUACGGAAGUCUACUCCAUAAAUGCAUUAGCGACAGGCGUUGUAAAUCUUUUUCUCGGCGCGUUGUCGUCAGGUUUUUUUUUUUUUCGUUCUCGAAUCGUCUAAAUUUAUCAGUCUUCGAGUAGAACUUUCUAUCUCGCGCCCAAUUAGGGAGCUGAAAGUCAUGUUGUCUACCAAUUUGCGAUGCCAUGAGAAUUUCUUCUGAUUCUGUAUCGAUUUCAACCAGUGUUUCGCUUUUCAUUGUAGAACCGGGUCGUGGAUCCGACGUGCGAUUUUCUCUCAGCGGCGUCUGUGACGCGCGAUUCGAUCGGCUACACUUUCUAGCGCGCGUAAACGAGCGGGUUAUCGCCGUGUAUAUUUUUCUUCGUUUCAGAAACGGGGUCGAUGAAGGUUCGCGUCAUCUCGCGAUGACUCAAAGGAAGAGUGGACCUUCGUUGGAUUUGCUCACCUUCGUGAGAGAAUUGCCGACUUCGAGCAGAGGACAACGCUGAACACUCCAUUUGCAUAGAAAUAUUUCAAUCAAAUUAGAACCACACAAAAUAAUUGAGUGCAAGUCACGGAAGAAACUUUUGGGACAACCUAAUAUAUGAAUGUUAGGCGGGACCGAGUGCUUGCGAGAAACGAGCGGUUUCCCGCUGGUGGCGAGGACAGGAGGUGCCACACUUGCUUCGUACUUUCAGUACGAAUUAUAAUUCACCGAAUAACUGUUCGAAAGUUGAACAAAUCGUAGGGCUAUCCGUAAAAAUGAUCCUUCGGGAGCAAUUCCCAACGCUGCAACGACCAGAAUGCCGUGCAUACAAGUUUCUGACAUUGCCAGCCAGCGUUCCACGAGUUAGGAGUUACGCUGUUACUCAUCCGCAGGAGGGAACUCGCGUAAAGGGAAACACGGACUUCUUUGGUCUUCUCCAUAGAAGAUUGGAACAUUGAAGUUAUCAAAUGGAGAUGAUGACAAUGCACAAGGUUUCUCGGCGUGAAUUUUGGGAACGGAAACACAACGUCCAAAGAAUACUGGCCGACUUCGAUUUCCGUUUGGCGCUAAUUGGACUGACAAGAGGACGCUUUGGUUACUCCGAAGGCGAAAGAAAGAGAUACGUGUCCUGGCGCUUGAUCGAGCGGGCCUUAGUUUCGGAGUAUAAUAAAUUUGUGAAAAUUGAAAUUUAUUGCAUUUUUUUUUAUUUUUUUUUCUUUUUUUUUUGAUAAUACUGACAUCGUAUGCAAAUUUUCGAAGUAGAAAUUAUAUUAUCACGUUACGAACGUUACGGUAAAUUUCAUUUCCAGAUACAUUUAAUUCAAGUAGUAAUAUUCGUAGCGGUAUAUUUUUCAUAUUUUUUUCUCUUUUUUUAAUUUUGUAAUUAAAAGAUCACGUUGCGACGUUCGUUUACUCUUCCUCCUCUUUUACUAAUUAUUUUAAAAACCAGAAAUCUAAAAUACCGUUAAUAUUAUUUCCAACGAAAUUUUAAACUUGAACGAUCGAAAAUUCGAAUACGUUACCUUUCUAUCAUUAUUAUUACUUUAAAUAUCGCUACUUGAAUUAAAAGUCUCUUAAAAUUAACUUUACAAUAACGUUCGUAACGCGAUAAUAUAAUUUCUACUUCGAAGAUUUACAUACUAUAUCGUCGAUAAAAAGAAAAAAAAAAAGGAAGAAAAAAAUGAAUAUUGAAUUUUCACAAAUUUAUUACGGCGAAACUAGAAGCCCUAUUCAAUCGAAUGCCGGGGCACGUGCCUGUCUUUUUUCACCUGCGGAAUAAUCAACGAAAUUGGCAUCGAGAUCCCAGCGCGAGAUACCCGAGCUUCUCUCCUGUUGCCGACAAGAAUCCGAGAGUCUAAGUAAACAGUUCGUGAGUUUCUGCAAAGUAACUAUUUUACACGCUAAUUUCAGUGUACUCUAGCGAAAGAUUCCGCACAAGCUACGGUAUACGUUGAAUUAUUCAGGCGUGACAGAUCAAUCGGCGACGAAGUCACAGACGUAAGCUAUUUUUUCAGCUCGAAUCAGCUGAACGUGGCACCGAAUCGUACCGCGCUAAAAUCGUAGCACCUCGAGUGCUGGAUCGGCGAUUUCUGUUUGUCGAGUCCCUAGAAAACACGGAGGCGCCGUUACGCCGAAUUGUUACCGCGAUAAUUAAUAAGCACGCAUUAAUAACGAGGACGAUCCGAAGCGAGGAGAAUCGUCACGUCGUCGAGGACAAAUUAUUAUUUCAAAGGCGUGUCGCUCGACGCAACGAGAAUGCAAACGACGAACAAUGUCGAAAGGUGACGAGAAGAUUAAUACAAACUCUUCGGCUGCUGAUCGACGAGUCACGGUAUACCGGGAUAUAAAUAAAAUUACCAGCUUCCUUUCUUUUCUUUUCUUUUUUUUUAACGACUUCUUUUCGGUCCGAACUUUACCUCGAGGCGCUAACAAUUAUCGACUAUUUUUCUUUUACACCAUUUAGUAGUACGAUGGUUAGAUCACAAGAAUCGAAGUUUUAAUGUUAGAAAUCCAAUAAUGCGAGGCCAUGUCCGUCCGGAACGUUUUAUCCAACGCUCCGUUCAUCGAUUACGUAGAGAAUGACAUUAAAAUCUCGUAAAACAUGUUACGAAAAUACUGUCCGAGUAGGUUUGGGGUCUGAUUGACCAACGGAGCGUCGGUACAAGCUAAUGCGACAAAAGUCCUCGGAUU